AGCAAUUAUACCGUGAAACUGCGAAUGGCUCAUUAAAUCAGUUAUCGUUUAUUUGAUAGUACCUUACUACUUGGAUAACCGUGGUAAUUCUAGAGCUAAUACAUGCUGAAAACCCCAACUUCGGGAGGGGUGUAUUUAUUAGAUAAAAAACCAACGCCCUUCGGGGCUUCUUGGUGAUUCAUGAUAACUUCACGGAUCGCAUGGCCUUGCGCCGGCGACGGUUCAUUCAAAUUUCUGCCCUAUCAACUUUCGAUGGUAAGGUAUUGGCUUACCAUGGUUUCAACGGGUAACGGGGAAUUAGGGUUCGAUUCCGGAGAGGGAGCCUGAGAAACGGCUACCACAUCCAAGGAAGGCAGCAGGCGCGCAAAUUACCCAAUCCCGACACGGGGAGGUAGUGACAAUAAAUACUGAUACAGGGCUCUUUUGGGUCUUGUAAUUGGAAUGAGUACAAUUUAAACCUCUUAACGAGGAACAAUUGGAGGGCAAGUCUGGUGCCAGCAGCCGCGGUAAUUCCAGCUCCAAUAGCGUAUAUUAAAGUUGUUGCAGUUAAAAAGCUCGUAGUUGAAACUUGGGCCUGGCUGGCAGGUCCGCCUCACCGCGUGUACUUGUCCGGCCGGGCCUUUCCUUCUGGAGAACCUCAUGCCCUUCACUGGGUGUGUUGGGGAACCAGGACUUUUACUUUGAAAAAAUUAGAGUGUUCAAAGCAGGCCUUUGCUCGAAUACGUUAGCAUGGAAUAAUAGAAUAGGACGUGCGGUCCUAUUUUGUUGGUUUCUAGGACCGCCGUAAUGAUUAAUAGGGACAGUCGGGGGCAUCAGUAUUCAAUUGUCAGAGGUGAAAUUCUUGGAUUUAUUGAAGACUAACUACUGCGAAAGCAUUUGCCAAGGAUGUUUUCAUUAAUCAGUGAACGAAAG
RNAcentral lists this ribosomal RNA (912 nucleotides) under Didymella glomerata. RNAcentral's name for it is "SSU rRNA". It matches the Rfam family "Eukaryotic small subunit ribosomal RNA", at positions 68 to 989 of the family's 1831-position model. Lineage: Eukaryota; Fungi; Ascomycota; Dothideomycetes; Pleosporales; Didymellaceae. The record is from RNAcentral.